CCUACGGGAGGCAGCAGUGGGGAAUAUUGCACGAUGGGCGCAAGCCUGAUGCAGCCAUGCCGCGUGUGUGAAGAAGGCCUUCGGGUUGUAAAGCACUUUCAGCGGGGAGGAAGGCGGUGAGGUUAAUAACCUCAUCGAUUGACGUUACCCGCAGAAGAAGCACCGGCUAACUCCGUGCCAGCAGCCGCGGUAAUACGGAGGGUGCAAGCGUUAAUCGGAAUUACUGGGCGUAAAGCGCACGCAGGCGGUCUGUCAAGUCGGAUGUGAAAUCCCCGGGCUCAACCUGGGAACUGCAUUCGAAACUGGCAGGCUAGAGUCUUGUAGAGGGGGGUAGAAUUCCAGGUGUAGCGGUGAAAUGCGUAGAGGUCUGGAGGAAUACCGGUGGCGAAGGCGGCCCCCUGGACAAAGACUGACGCUCAGGUGCGAAAGCGUGGGGAGCAAACAGGAUUAGAUACCCCGGUAGUC
This 465-nucleotide ribosomal RNA is filed under the name uncultured Klebsiella sp. RNAcentral's name for it is "bacterial SSU rRNA". It matches the Rfam family "Bacterial small subunit ribosomal RNA", at positions 338 to 795 of the family's 1533-position model. The record is from RNAcentral. Lineage: Bacteria; Pseudomonadati; Pseudomonadota; Gammaproteobacteria; Enterobacterales; Enterobacteriaceae.